Non-coding RNA from Anas platyrhynchos (mallard), 3762 nucleotides. NCBI's taxonomy places the organism in Eukaryota, Metazoa, Chordata, Aves, Anseriformes, Anatidae. The record is from RefSeq and is a predicted model, not a curated record.
CAGUAAUUCAAAGCUGAAAAGCACCUUCUAGAUUUCUCACCAAGCCUCAUCAAGAUAUGAUGCUUUCUUUGUACCUUCCAGGAUGUGUUCACCACAGAGAUAAAAGCUGACAUUGACUCUUCCACAAGGUUUCAAUAGGAAAGCAGACCAGGAGCCAGUGAACCAGAAUGAGGAGGAAAUCAGAAAACAUGCCAUUCCGUUCAUCCUGUAGCACAAAGGCAGAGACCUGGAGAAUUUCUUUCUCUCUUACUGAAUAGAAGAUUUUGAAUAACCAUAGCAACAGUAAAACCUGCUGUGAAACUUACAGCAUGAAGUGUUGCAGAUAUCUACCUCUGGGGAUCAAGGAGUUAGUGAAGGGUAUCGCUUCUGUGUUGUUGUUCCCCCCUGUACCAUCACUCCCAGGUUAGUACUGGAGAGAUGAACAUAAAAACAAGUGAACAGUUUCAGACAAAUAGUUUGUACUGCAAUAUUCUUCUGUUUUCUUUUUAUCAGAUUGUUCUUGCAUUGAUUGUGGAUUUUUUCUAUGACUUAUUUAAAUGAAAUCAGUAUGAAAUAUUUAAUUUUUAAUAUUGGGUAUUCAGAGCAAACCUCACAAAUGCUUGAAGAAGUGUGUGUUUUGCAGGGAGCAAAAUGGGACAUACAGCUUAAAUGGAAUGAUUUGCCUGGCUUAAUUCAAUCAUCUUUAGGGAGUUUCAGUGGAAAUGUGAUUGACCUGGUGAGGGGAAAAAAUCACAUGUAUGCUAAGGUUACCAAAGAUCAGCUGGGCUAGAUAUUCUUUUAGCCUACAGCAAACACAAAAUGUUUCAGAGUAGCUGAAAUGUUCCUGUCUAUGAGGUAAGUUGAUCUCUGUUUCAUUUGCCUUGAGCUGAGAGCCUGUAUCUGAACAGCCACUGGGACUCAGGUGCUUUGUGGCAGCUUAAGUCUGAACUGACUCUGUGCCUAGGUCUUUAGAUUCAACUCCCAGGACUUUUAAAAUGGGAGCUGGACUGGGUACUAGAGUGGGAAAGUAACUUAGAUAUUUUAUUAUGGUUAUUUUCUCUCCCCAGACAGCCUGCUUCAUUCACCCUCACAGGUAAAGAGAGCAAGUUUUGCAUUGUUCCACAUUUGUGAAUCCAGAUUAUGUCUGUUGUUAGAUUUACAGCUUUAGCAGAGUUUCUCAGGUGUAACAUUUACAUAAUUGAAUUCAGAAAUUGUUUAGUUGGUUGUGUCCUAAUAGAAAUUUCUUCAUUUUAAAAUGUCUAAUUCUGCAUUCUGUACAGACUGAAGUCUUGGGGCAGGUGCUACCUGCCUACCCUCCAAACAGGUAAAAACAUAUAUAGACACAUUCCUGUGGCAAUGUCCUACUUGCUGAGGUUUAGUGUUCUGCUAAGCAUUUAUAUGCAACCUCUGCUUGUGGCUCCACAUGCCUUUGCUUGAUUCAAUCUGUUGUAGGUAUAGACUCAGGUCUGCUAACAAUGCCCUGGCAGAAGUGCCAGAGUGGGUGCUGAGAAAUGAAAAUGCUUACUCAUGAUUAUUGGUAUAUUAGAAAUCUUCCCUCAUUGCAUUGUGGCAAGUACAACUUGCAUUCAGUUGUUGUAACAUAUUCCUUUCUGUCUGUAUUCUGUGUAAAGGAAGCAAAGCAUGUUACACCCCUGAUGACAGACAGGUACUCACUCCAAUGGGCUGUUGGUCAACUGCUUCUGUAACUUCUUUCAAACAUUCCAGUAGCCAGUACAGAUGGUUUUGGAUGUGGGAAAGACUUGUAUGCUAUGAAAUGUUGGUGUACAUGUGCAAAGUGGAAGGACAUCAUUGACAGGGUAAGAAAUAAUGGGCAUAAACUGAAAUACAGAAAUAUCUUUCUGAACAUCAGGAAACAUUUCUUUACCAUGAGGAUGACUAGCAAAGUUGUCCAGAGAGGCUGUGGAGUCUUCCUCCUUGGAGAUCUCCAAAACCAAUCUGGACAUGGUCCUGAGUAACCUUUUCUAGGUGGCUCUGCUUGAGCAGAACAGAUGUUCAGGGUAUCUCCAGAGGUCCUUUCCAAGCUCAGCCAGUCUGUGAUUCUCUGCUGAUAAACCCAUCAUGGCCCCUAGCAGGUGACUCAUUUAGAAGAAAAUCUGAGUCUGGCAUGUGGUUCUUAUGCUUGGAAGUCCGCCAUCACUGGUUGGAGGCAGGGACCAAAAAACUGCAUUUGCAGUUGUAUUUCAGCUCGCAAAUAUAUUUGCCUCUGUACCUCUGUGCCCCAGGUAUAGGAAUAUUUUCUUAACAGUGAUGCUCUGAACUUCAUCAGAGAUCUGUGUGAUGUGUUGAGAGAUCUGCAGAUUACAGGCACUAUGGGAACGAUUGGUCUGUAUUAUGUAUUGCCAUGGGGUUUUCAUGUUGGUGUAACUGGUGUGUGGGCAUUCACUUAGAGACAGAAGGGUAUUUAUUUUUUGCUUGUGGCAUCCACUUCCAUACAAAAAAAUGUGCAUGUGACAGAGCUGAAAAACCUUUGCUAUUCACAAAGCUAUUAAAAAUAAAUCCUUUUGCUGUGCUGAGAAUUUUAAUUGGAGUUGGAUCUGCACAGUUCUUCCACAGAUUUUAAAAUGCUUAUCUUUGCUUGUCUGUUUAUGUGUUUAUGUCCUUAGACUUUAUCACCUAGUACUCACAUGGCUCCAGGAAAAGAGGCUCGAAGCUCAGCACAUCCUUUUCUUUGCAGGAUUACUGUGGCUGGGAAGGUCGGUGAGGAUUUCGUCUGCCACCAGAGAGCACUGUAACUAUACGCUCCAGCCAGCCGGCCCAAUUUCCAGGUCAGGUUCUACCUGAUGCUGCCUGUUUCUUUCGUCAGCUUUCCCUUAGAGCAAAAAGGUUCUUAAAGGAAACCCCGCGUAGGACAGCCCUGUGCUUUUCCAUGCUGCUUUACCUCCACUUUUACUUUGUGAGUCCACACAGACAGGGUUGAGUCACCACCCACCCAAGCGCUAGGCAAGAAAGGACUCCACCUUGUCAAAGGGCAGUUGACCACUUGCACAGCCCCUUGUGUUAAGCUGGGUGUACAGCCUGAAUGCAUCUGUCUGCAGGCUGGAAAAAAAAAAAAAAAAAAAAAAAAAAAAAGACACUGCUGUUAUUCUAUUGUAUGCUAUCCCGCUAUCCCUUGCUAUCCCUUGCUAUCCCUUGCUAUCCCUUGCUGUUGCUCAAACACAAGAAGAAAGGGCAAUGUAGCAGCUACCCUAAAGCCAGUUCACUUUGCUCCCUCUCCUCUUCUACAAAAGGUUUGUCUGUUUUUUAUUCAAAACAACCUUGUUUAAACUUAAAACAAAUGGUCUCUAUUUGUCAUUAACUUGAAAUCUUACUACUUCUGUUUCAGACCUGAAGGACUUGAGUGUUUCUUCUACUUUUAUUCCAACACAAAUAUAGCUUCACUUACAUCCUUCAAGCAGCAUGGCUGCAGCAAAGCUUCCAUUGCUUUGAGUCCUGGCAUAUAUAAGGAGCACAGCACUGCUGGCCUUCUGUGGUUUGUACACGUUUUGCCUGACUGAAACCAUUGCACUAUACAGGCUUAAUAAUUACUUUGAGAUUGGACAUCUCCCUUUUUAGGGAUGGCAGAGACCUUUGCUGAUGGUACAUGUACCUGGCCGAGAAAUGACAUAUCCGCAGAUGUGGAGACAGCCUUGAGUCAAAGUACUGCACAAGGCACCUGCUGAUGAGACAGAAAGCCCAUGGUCAGGUCAAGUGGAGCUGACAUGAAUCUGCAUCUUUGAAGAAGAAGAAUGAAGGACCCCACAUUUCCAGCAGCAGAGCUAAAAG